Molecule: ribosomal RNA, 464 nt
Filed under: uncultured bacterium
Lineage: Bacteria
Description: bacterial SSU rRNA
Rfam family: Bacterial small subunit ribosomal RNA
Source: RNAcentral
UCCAGACUCCUACGGGAGGCAGCAGUGAGGAAUAUUGGUCAAUGGUCGUAAGACUGAACCAGCCAAGUAGCGUGCAGGAUGACGGCCCUAUGGGUUGUAAACUGCUUUUAUGCGGGGAUAAAAUGCGUCACGUGUGAUGUUUUGUAGGUACCGCAUGAAUAAGGACCGGCUAAUUCCGUGCCAGCAGCCGCGGUAAUACGGAAGGUCCGGGCGUUAUCCGGAUUUAUUGGGUUUAAAGGGUGCGUAGGCGGGCUUUUAAGUCAGCGGUAAAAAUUCGGGGCUCAACCCCGUCCGGCCGUUGAAACUGGGGGCCUUGAGUGGGCGAGAAGAAGGCGGAAUGCGUGGUGUAGCGGUGAAAUGCAUAGAUAUCACGCAGAACCCCGAUUGCGAAGGCAGCCUUCCGGCGCCCUACUGACGCUGAGGCACGAAAGUGCGGGGAUCGAACAGGAUUAGAUACCCGCGUA